GAUGAACGCUGGCGGCGUGCCUAAUACAUGCAAGUCGAGCGAACAGACGAGGAGCUUGCUCCUCUGACGUUAGCGGCGGACGGGUGAGUAACACGUGGAUAACCUACCUAUAAGACUGGGAUAACUUCGGGAAACCGGAGCUAAUACCGGAUAAUAUAUUGAACCGCAUGGUUCAAUAGUGAACGACGGUUUUGCUGUCACUUAUAGAUGGAUCCGCGCCGCAUUAGCUAGUUGGUAAGGUAACGGCUUACCAAGGCAACGAUGCGUAGCCGACCUGAGAGGGUGAUCGGCCACACUGGAACUGAGACACGGUCCAGACUCCUACGGGAGGCAGCAGUAGGGAAUCUUCCGCAAUGGGCGAAAGCUUGACGGAGCAACGCCGCGUGAGUGAUGAAGGUCUUCGGAUCGUAAAACUCUGGUAUUAGGGAAGAACAAAUGUGUAAGUAACUAUGCACGUCUUGACGGUACCUGAUCAGAAAGCCACGGCUAACUACGUG
Molecule: ribosomal RNA, 497 nt
Filed under: uncultured bacterium
Lineage: Bacteria
Description: partial 16S ribosomal RNA
Rfam family: Bacterial small subunit ribosomal RNA
Source: RNAcentral